Molecule: long non-coding RNA, 500 nt
Organism: Gossypium arboreum
Lineage: Eukaryota; Viridiplantae; Streptophyta; Magnoliopsida; Malvales; Malvaceae
Exons: 3
Source: RefSeq, a predicted model, not a curated record
UUUAUCAGCUCCUACGGUUUUGAGGGAUUUCUUUUUUCAAUCACGUUUAGCUCAGUUAUGUAAUUAUUGACAAAAAUCGCUAUUUCUUGACCAGUGCUAAUUUUCCUUUCAUGGAUUCUAGCAUUUGUCUCCCCAAAUGGUCCAGAGUGCACAACAAAAUAUUCGACAACAAAAUAUUCGACAAUGGCGGGAUACGAAGUAUCUUUUUAGCAUCUCCCUUCAAAAAGAGUGAUUUUUUUAAGGUUAAAGAGAUUGAGAUUGAAGGUGAAAGAUAAUCCUCGUGGUUAGGACUCGGAUGCGGUCAUCGGUGAUGCUAUCAGAAUGGUUUUUAAAUAAAUAUAGACUUUCAUUUAUGAUUUGAAUUUUUAUGGACUUUAUUGCUAUUUGGGACUUUUUAUGUUAAAUUAUGGUAUUGUGGCAUGAGACUUUAUUUUGGGGAUUUUUUAUUCUGAUUUGCAUAAAUUGCUUGCAUGAUAUUAAAUUUUAAAAUUUACAUAAAA